GAGGUCCUACGGGAGGCAGCAGUGAGGAAUAUUGGUCAAUGGGCGGAAGCCUGAACCAGCCAAGUCGCGUGAGGGAAUAAGGCCCUACGGGUUGUAAACUUCUUUUAUAAAGGAAUAAAGUGAGGCACGUGUGCCUUUUUGUAUGUACUUUAUGAAUAAAGAUCGGCUAACUCCGUGCCAGCAGCCGCGGUAAUACGGAGGAUCCGAGCGUUAUCCGGAUUUAUUGGGUUUAAAGGGAGCGUAGAUGGGUUGUUAAGUCAGUUGUGAAAGUUUGCGGCUCAACCGUAAAAUUGCAAUUGAUACUG
Molecule: ribosomal RNA, 305 nt
Filed under: uncultured bacterium
Lineage: Bacteria
Description: bacterial SSU rRNA
Rfam family: Bacterial small subunit ribosomal RNA
Source: RNAcentral